ACCUCGGGUGUGAGUCUGGGAUUUCCAUGUGACCUAUUUAAACCCUAAACCCAUCCCUUGAAAAGGGUAGUAAUAUUGGGGUCUUUUGCCCGGCGCUUCCCCCUCCCAAGAAAAGAAUAGCCGAUGCCUUGAAACGUGUGAAAUCUCGGGGUCGAACCUAUAGCUCAUGAGAGGGAUCUGGUUUGGCUGCCAUCAAUUCAAAUAUUGGUUCGCGGUUCAUGUUCCUCCCCUCCCAACCACCCAUUUU
RNAcentral lists this non-coding RNA (247 nucleotides) under Echium plantagineum. The record is from RNAcentral. Lineage: Eukaryota; Viridiplantae; Streptophyta; Magnoliopsida; Boraginales; Boraginaceae.